This 78-nucleotide transfer RNA is filed under the name Bacteriophage sp. Its description in RNAcentral is "tRNA-OTHER". RNAcentral also lists the same sequence under 2 other names. The record is from RNAcentral.
GGGCGGUAAGUAUUCCGGGAUGAAACGUUACGGAGUGCGCAUGACGUAAAGAGGCCGGUUCGAUCCCGGCACCGUCCA